GCCCACGUAGCUCAACCGGAAAGAGCAGCGGUUUACGAAGCCGCAGGCUGCUGGUUCGACUCCAGCCGUGGGCA
RNAcentral lists this transfer RNA (74 nucleotides) under Mycolicibacterium goodii. Its description in RNAcentral is "tRNA-Arg". It matches the Rfam family "tRNA". From Rfam's summary of the family: Transfer RNA (tRNA) molecules are approximately 80 nucleotides in length. The record is from RNAcentral. RNAcentral also lists the same sequence under 1 other name. Lineage: Bacteria; Bacillati; Actinomycetota; Actinomycetes; Mycobacteriales; Mycobacteriaceae.